This 397-nucleotide ribosomal RNA is filed under the name uncultured bacterium. RNAcentral's name for it is "partial 16S ribosomal RNA". It matches the Rfam family "Bacterial small subunit ribosomal RNA", at positions 523 to 918 of the family's 1533-position model. The record is from RNAcentral.
AUACGUAGGGGGCGAGCGUUGUCCGGAAUGAUUGGGCGUAAAGGGCGCGUAGGCGGCCUGUUAAGUCUGGAGUGAAAGUCCUGUUUUCAAGAUGGGAAUUGCUUUGGAUACUGAUGGGCUUGAGUGCAGGAGAGGUUAUCGGAAUUCCCGGUGUAGCGGUGAAAUACGUAGAGAUCGGGAGGAACACCAGUGGCGAAGGCGGGUAACUGGACUGCAACUGACGCUGAGGCGCGAAAGUGUGGGGAGCAAACAGGAUUAGAUACCCUGGUAGUCCACACUGUAAACGAUGAAUGCUAGGUGUAAGAGGUAUCGACCCCUUUUGUGCCGGAGUUAACACAAUAAGCAUUCCGCCUGGGGAGUACGGCCGCAAGGUUGAAACUCAAAUGAAUUGACGGGG